This 253-nucleotide ribosomal RNA is filed under the name uncultured bacterium. Its description in RNAcentral is "partial 16S ribosomal RNA". It matches the Rfam family "Bacterial small subunit ribosomal RNA", at positions 524 to 776 of the family's 1533-position model. The record is from RNAcentral.
UACGUAGGGUGCGAGCGUUAAUCGGAAUUACUGGGCGUAAAGCGUGCGCAGGCGGUUCGUUGUGUCUGCUGUGAAAUCCCCGGGCUCAACCUGGGAAUGGCAGUGGAAACUGGCGAGCUUGAGUGUGGCAGAGGGGGGUGGAAUUCCGCGUGUAGCAGUGAAAUGCGUAGAGAUGCGGAGGAACACCGAUGGCGAAGGCAACCCCCUGGGCUAACACUGACGCUCAUGCACGAAAGCGUGGGGAGCAAACAGG